This 267-nucleotide small nuclear RNA is filed under the name Erinaceus europaeus (western European hedgehog). RNAcentral describes it as "7SK RNA". It matches the Rfam family "7SK RNA", at positions 1 to 285 of the family's 331-position model. From Rfam's summary of the family: 7SK was discovered as an abundant small nuclear RNA in the mid-70s but a possible function has only recently been suggested. Two independent studies have found that 7SK RNA binds the CDK9/cyclin T complex (known as elongation factor P-TEFb). The record is from Rfam by way of RNAcentral. Lineage: Eukaryota; Metazoa; Chordata; Mammalia; Eulipotyphla; Erinaceidae.
GGAUGUGAGGGCGAUCUGGCUGCGACAUCUGUCACCCCAUUGAUCGCCAGGGUUGAUUCGGCUGAUCUGGCUGGCUAGGCGGGUGUCCCCUUCCUCCCUCACCGCUCCAUGUGCGUCCCUCCCGAAGCUGCGCGCUCGGCGGCCUUCCCCGAAUAGAGACGGACCGUCUUCUGUCGAGGGUAUACAAGUAGCUGCGCUCCCCUGCUAGAACCUCCAAACAAGCUCUCAAGAAAGAAGAAAAGUGAGAGAGAGAGAGAGAAAGAGAGA